AGAUUAAAAAAACAUUUUUUUUUAAUAUUUCCACCCUCAUGCAUUCCCUUGCCAAUCAGCUGCCUCUCUCCAUGACCUCUGGAUGUCACUACAAGCCAGGUUUCUGUAGCUGCCCAUGCUCUCAGAAAAGGGCUGUCCUUCCAGAAACCUCCAGCUGGAAUGAAGGGGUAUAAGAAGCACUGCUCUGAGGGGCCCCGGAGCACCAGGCAGCAGGCCCUGCUUCCCCCAGACCCCAGGAGUACUCUCACUCUCUGGUUCUGCCUCCCAGAACUGGGGGCUGGGAUGGCCAGGGUUGUACUGCCAUCCAGGCUUAAGGCAGGGCAGGGCUACCCUCAAAUCCCAUGGGGAUACCCUAACUCAGCACCUCAUCAGGCAAAAGAGGAAUGAAGAAUUAUCUCUGCAGGUUUUCAUGAAGUCAAAGACUCUCAAUCUCCCAUCCCCUUCCUAGACCCUAAAGGGAGCAGGAGACAGGGACAAAUUACAGACUUUACAGUCCUGCUUUCCACUGGUCCUCUUACCAAGGAGCAGGGUAAGGAAGACACAUAUCCUUUGAGCACCAGGGCAGGGACUUGGUCUUCAGAGCAUCUCACAUGUUAAUUUAACAAACAUUUAUUUAGUGCUGACCAUUUGAGGUUCUCUCAGUAGUAAUACUAAUGGCAGAGAUCACACGUGGGUUUCUACCGGCCAGGAGCAGGGCUAACACAUCACAUGCAUCAUCAUGCCAGAGUCCAAAAUGUCCAAGGAGGCAGGAACUUCUCUUGCUCCAGGGGAAUCUGCCCCUUAGAUAAGUCCAUGCAGAGUGGACUGGCAGAGCUGGGAAGGAGCCCUGGUCACAGGACCACACCUGUGGAUGGUCCUGUGUCACAGGUAAGGAAAUGAGGCUCAGAGGGACAGGAAUGGCUGGUUCUUAGUCUUGGUUCAGUCUCGAAACAUUGCUAAAAAUGCCAACUCCUUAGGGAAACUUCUUCAGCAGGCAGCUGCAAUGUGUUUGUUUGUUUGUUUGUUUGUUUGUUGGCAUGUGCAUACAUGUAUGAUAUUAUACACUGUACCAUGUAACACAUUAAUAAUAUCAGUGAAAUAUACAUUGAAUUACAAAAUUAAAAAUACAGACGAGUAGGCAUUCUAAUAUUGCUUAUGCACCCUGGCCUAAGCCUUUUAAUCACAUCAGGUACAUGUCUCUGAUUCCUUAACUGUUCUGAUGGUUACUGUGAGGAUGAAAAGGGAGAAAUACUUUGAAAUUAAAAUGACUAAUAAGUGCAAAUUGAUCUAAAUAAUAAGCAUAAUUUAUUCCUAUAGGAUAUCUUGAUUGAGCCCCUGUGCAUGUCAGGACUUGUGCUGGGUACAGUGGGGAGGUCACAGAGAGUCCCAUCAAAAGCUUGUCCACAAAGAGGCAAUUGCUAAGGAGACAGGAGAUAUAAAUACCAUUGCCUUGAGUGCAGAUGGAGCAACCAGGAUGGCUAAAACACUAGGUUCUAUAAGACUUCUGGGAAAGAGAUGCAACCUUCCCCGUACAACCACUAGAAAUAUGGUUAAUCCUUAUUUUCCUAAGAGUUCACAAUGCUUAUUAAAUACACUGUAACAAGAACACAAGCUAUACCGUAAAGGGCUGAAAGUAAGACAAUGUGUCAACUGUCAUCAUCGAUAAUGUCUGAUCAGUUCAGAUGGGUGAGCCCAUCGUGUCUGCAUGAGGCAAGGUACUAAGCCUGUCUAGGAAACGCAAGCCAAUCCAGGCAAUCCAUGUGUCUGUGUGUUGUGACAACAUAGUUGGAAAUAAACUUAGGAAGGUGGGGUCCAAAUGGAUUAAACCAAUGAUGCUGAAAGAAAACAGAGGUGUAAAUAUUUGGUGAGUCAGUUGGCUAGAAUGGUAAAUGUGGGGACCAAGGAGGUGCAUCAAACACAUGUGGGCCCUCUCCCCCUGGAAGUCCCCCUUCAUGAAAUGUUCCCCAGCCAGAAGCAUGUGGGAAGCCUUUAUUGUUUUCUUGGCCCUAGAGAGAGUCCAGGGAAAGAGAGAAUAAGUGGAUGAUUCCAUGGUCGUACUUGGGAAAGGGCUCCAAGCACACACCUACUAGUGUUGGCCUCAUUGUCAUCUCUGCAUCCAGAGGACAAAUGGUCAGUAGUGCUAUCAAGGAAAAGGGCUGGAGAACGGAGGCAGGAAAUCAUACCAGCUGGUCUGGAGGGAAGUUAUAUUAGUUCACUAAGGCUACUGUAAUCAAGUACCACAGACUGGGUAGCUUAAACAACAGAAAUUUAUUUUCUCAUUAUUAUGGAGGCUAGAAGUCCUAGAUCAAUGGUCAGCAAGGCUCCUUCCUUCUGAGGCCUCUCUCCUUGCCUUGCAGAUGGCGAUCUCCUCCCUAUGUCCUCACACGAUCUUCCCUUUGUACAUGUUUGUGUCCUAAUCUUUUCUUAUAAGGACAUCAGUGAUACUGGAUUAGGACCCACCCUAAUGUCCUCGUUUUAACUAGAUUACCUCUUUCAAGACCUUAUCUCCAAAUAUAGUCAUAUUUAUGGUACUGGGGUUAGGAGAUUAACAUACGUAUUUUGGAAGAAGACCUAAUUCAGCCUGUAACAGAAGUGUUUUCUUAACUUUGUUAAAAUGAAGCAUUGAGAGAAAAAAAGAACUAACCAGCUCACUGUGUGAAAUGUCAUAAAGGCUUCACUGAGACCUGGUAUGAAUGACAAAAAGACUGGCCCAACUUAGCCAGUUUGGGCCAGGACCUCAGGAGUGACCAGCUUCUGCCAAAAGUCUUCUCUACAGCCAGAUGAUGCUAUAAACUGACUAUCUGUGUUCCUCUCAAAUUUGCGUGUUGAAAUCCUAACCCUCAAUGUGAUGGCAUUAGGAAGUAUGGCAUCUGGGAGGUGAUUAGGUUAUGAGGGUAGAGCCCUUGCGAACGUGAUAACUGUUUUUAUAAGAAGAGAUUCAGGAGCUUGCUCUUUCUCUCUGUUCUCCAGCAUGUGAGGAUAUGAGAAGAAAGCCAUCUGCAAACCAGGAAGAGGGCUCUCAUCAGAACAGAAGCUGCCAGGACCUUGAUCUUGGACUUUCAGCUUCCAGAACUGUGCGAAAAGCAGUUUGGAGGCAAUGUCACAAAUCCUGGGCCCAGGCCUGAAUAAAGCUGGCAAGUUCCUUUCCUUGCUGAUCCACAGUGAAAACGUGAUGGCCAAAGUAGAUGAAGUGAAGUCCAUAAUUAAAUUCCCAGUUGAAGACGGUGUGGCGUCUGGCAGUGGCUAUCGGCCAUGUGAAGAUGACAGAGGAUGAACUUGGGCACAACAUCCACUUAGCUGUCAAUGUCCUGGUACCAUUGCUCAAGAAGAAUUGGCAGAACAUCCAGGCUUUAUACAUCAAGAGCACCACGGGCAAGUCCCAGAGCCUGUACUAAGGCACAGCUUAAUAAACCCUAGUGCUACCAUUAAAUAAAUCUAUCUAUCUAUCAUCUAUCUAUCUAUCA
Long non-coding RNA from Leopardus geoffroyi (Geoffroy's cat), 3443 nucleotides. RefSeq lists it as uncharacterized. The transcript is spliced from 2 exons. NCBI's taxonomy places the organism in Eukaryota, Metazoa, Chordata, Mammalia, Carnivora, Felidae. The record is from RefSeq and is a predicted model, not a curated record.